UACGUAGGGACCAAGCGUUGUUCGGAUUUAUUGGGCGUAAAGCGCGUGUAGGCGGCCAGAUAGGUCUGCUGUGAAAACUCGAGGCUCAACCUCGAGCUGUCGGCGGAAACCAUCUGGCUAGAGUCCGGGAGAGGAGAGUGGAAUUCCUGGUGUAGCGGUGAAAUGCGCAGAUAUCAGGAAGAACACCGGUGGCGAAGGCGGCAUCCUGGACCGGCAUUGACGCUGAGGAGCGAAAGCCAGGGGAGCAAACGGG
Molecule: ribosomal RNA, 253 nt
Filed under: uncultured bacterium
Lineage: Bacteria
Description: partial 16S ribosomal RNA
Rfam family: Bacterial small subunit ribosomal RNA
Source: RNAcentral